CCUGAAGGAAAGAAGGCUGCAAGUCUUUAAGAUGGCAGAGGGAGGACAACAAAAUUGAGAAGCGUGCUCGUUUCGUGCUUUCACACUCCGUUCCCAGUCCUGCCGCCGCCUACACUGGAGCGAGGCGAGGGAGGCAGGACUGCGAGCGAAAGAGGGAGGAGAGGUCGGCUCCGAGGCCGCUGAUUGGCGGAGGAGACUGGCUGCUGGAAACAGCGAGGUGCACUCCGUACUCAGAAUCCAUUUAAAAAGCUCGAGAUACCGACUGCACUUCGCCCAGGCUUAGGAAGGGUAAAUAUUAGUCACAGGACCCGAAAGCUUAGCUGGUGGUUUAGGGCUUGCGGGGGAGAGGCUGAAACAGUAACUUUUAUUGAUAUGCUGCUGGGGAGGAAAUAAUUCGGGAUCCGUUCCGUAUUGCUGUGAGGAACUUGCAGGUGCCUGGGGUUUUCCCUGCCUUCUCCACAGACAGGACCCUUGCAGGUGUACUGCUGCGGGACACGAUGCAGAUACCCUAUGGAAUUGCAAUUCUGCUGCAACAGUGACUGCAAGAACCGGCUGCUCCAUACAGGAUCAGAGCCAGGGCACCUGGAGCAGAAAAAGCUGUCACUGGAGAAGGGGGUACCAGUACAGCUCAUUAUAUUGCAUGGGCCACCAAGUAGCCACUGAACAUGCACAGGGGAAAGGAUGUUUCUUACCGCUACCAGUGCAGAACACCAGGCCUCCAGCAGCAGCAACCAGUGGGAAACAUGUGUUCCUACGUGGGGUUGCUGCCUUUUAAAUAUCCCUGGGCUCCUGUGACUCUCAGAAGCACAUGACAGACAGAAAUGCAGCAGGGGCAGUAGCACCCUUGAUGCAGAUGCACUGAGCUGCACUUGUUGCUCUACUGCCCGUCGUGUCACACAGAGUGGCAGGAGUCCUAUAGCCAGUAGCAACCCCACGUUGCUAGGAUGCUCUCAGUACUCCCUUCAACGCUGAAACUGUUCAAUAAAAGCUUGUGCCAGUGUCUGCUGUGUUUUUGUCCUGUUGAUGGCUGUCCAGCGUCUUCACUGUGGGAAACUCGCAAUAGGAGGAGGAGGGCACUGGGCUUUCCAUCAUCACAGCCCUUCUAGGCUGACUGACUGUGCGGGAAUCAGAUCCACACCUCUCCUUUUACACUGCAUUGCUCUGUCCUACUGCAUUGCUAAGUGGCUGGAUGUGUUUCCUUCCGUGAGCUUGCUUUUGUAAUGUGUACUCUUCCCUGUCCAAGUGGCUCUCUCCCACUCCCCCUGGCUAAAUGGUUGUUCCCUAAACAUAGACACCAACAUAUACUUAUUGUGUGAAAUGUUACAAAAAGCAUCUGUGCACAUUCUCAGAGCUAGCCCACCCGUGAGGUUGGGUGAGGUGUCUGCUGCAGGUGUCACUCUCCUGGAGCGGUGGCAUCCUGUUUGGCUGCCCAGAGUUACUGCUGAUUCCCCCAGCCUUUGGGGGCAGAGAGGGACUGGUGACAAAGCUAUGCAGAAUGCCUCUCCU
Molecule: non-coding RNA, 1506 nt
Organism: Podarcis muralis (Common wall lizard)
Lineage: Eukaryota; Metazoa; Chordata; Lepidosauria; Squamata; Lacertidae
Source: RefSeq, a predicted model, not a curated record